GAUGAAGAACGUAGCGAAAUGCGAUAAGUAGUGUGAAUUGCAGAAUUCAGUGAAUCAUCGAAUCUUUGAACGCACAUUGCGCCCGCCAGUAUUCUGGCGGGCAUGCCUGUUCGAGCGUCAUUUCAACCCUCAAGCACAGCUUGGUGUUGGGACUCGCGUUAAUUCGCGUUCCCCAAAUUGAUUGGCGGUCACGUCGAGCUUCCAUAGCGUAGUAGUAAAACCCUCGUUACUGGUAAUCGUCGCGGCCACGCCGUUAAACCCCAACUUCUGAAUGUUGACCUCGGAUCAGGUAGGAAUACCCGCUGAACUUAAGCAUAUCAAUAAGCGGAGGA
This 332-nucleotide unclassified non-coding RNA is filed under the name soil metagenome. Its description in RNAcentral is "partial contains 5.8S ribosomal RNA, internal transcribed spacer 2, and large subunit ribosomal RNA". The stretch from base 1 to 120 matches the Rfam family "5.8S ribosomal RNA", at positions 35 to 154 of the family's 154-position model. The record is from RNAcentral.